RNAcentral lists this ribosomal RNA (509 nucleotides) under uncultured bacterium. RNAcentral's name for it is "partial 16S ribosomal RNA". It matches the Rfam family "Bacterial small subunit ribosomal RNA", at positions 28 to 506 of the family's 1533-position model. The record is from RNAcentral.
GACGAACGCUGGCGGCGUGCUUAACACAUGCAAGUCGAGCGAAGAGCGAUGGAAGCUUGCUUCUAUCAAUCUUAGUGGCGAACGGGUGAGUAACGCGUAAUCAACCUGCCCUUCAGAGGGGGACAACAGUUGGAAACGACUGCUAAUACCGCAUACGAUCUAAUCUCGGCAUCGAGGAUAGAUGAAAGGUGGCCUCUACAUGUAAGCUAUCACUGAAGGAGGGGAUUGCGUCUGAUUAGCUAGUUGGAGGGGUAACGGCCCACCAAGGCGAUGAUCAGUAGCCGGUCUGAGAGGAUGAACGGCCACAUUGGGACUGAGACACGGCCCAGACUCCUACGGGAGGCAGCAGUGGGGAAUCUUCCGCAAUGGACGAAAGUCUGACGGAGCAACGCCGCGUGAGUGAUGACGGCCUUCGGGUUGUAAAGCUCUGUUAAUCGGGACGAAAGGCCUUCUUGCGAAUAGUGAGAAGGAUUGACGGUACCGGAAUAGAAAGCCACGGCUAACUACGU